UACGGAGGGGGCGAGCGUUAUUCGGAAUUAUUGGGCGUAAAGGGCGCGUAGGCGGCUUUCUAAGUCAAAGGUGAAAUCCCUCGGCUCAACUGAGGAACUGCCUUUGAAACUGGAAGGCUUGAGGCCGGGAGGGGGUAGCGGAAUUCCCAGUGUAGCGGUGAAAUGCGUAGAUAUUGGGAGGAACACCAGUGGCGAAGGCGGUUCUCUGGGCAUUACCUGACGCUGAGGAGCGAAAGCGUGGGGAGCAAACAGG
Molecule: ribosomal RNA, 253 nt
Filed under: uncultured bacterium
Lineage: Bacteria
Description: partial 16S ribosomal RNA
Rfam family: Bacterial small subunit ribosomal RNA
Source: RNAcentral